Astatotilapia calliptera (eastern happy) is the source of this 2533-nucleotide long non-coding RNA. NCBI's taxonomy places the organism in Eukaryota, Metazoa, Chordata, Actinopteri, Cichliformes, Cichlidae. The record is from Ensembl.
GAUUUUCCAAAGCGAGAAACAAAAUGGCGGACAGUGCAGCCGAUUUUUCCUUUCCAGGGGGCGGAGCUUGAGGAGAAAACACGACUAACAUGUGAGUGAGCGCUUUGUUUAGACCCCCAAAAUGGCGGAUCGGGCCAAAAUCCUUUCCACGCCCACCCCCGUGACAUCACACUCCAAAGCCCUAUGACAUCAUAUAGAUCAAAGGCAUGUGAUCCAUUCAAAAGGUAUAAAUAGGGGUGAGAACUGCAAACUUUUAGUCAGUUUAUUCGCAGCACUCAUGUUCGCAGCAUUCAAACAUAAACCUGAGAAACAUUUUGAAACAGUUGGAUCAUUUACACAGUUGUUUUACUAAGAUUCCAACAUGUCUCAGAGAAAACACAGCAAAAAACAACAAGCUUACGCUGGCCCUGUGCUCGAGGGUCCAUCCAUCCAAAGGGCAUUAGCUGAAAGUAGGCAGGAAAACCAAAAUCUACACAACAUGAUUAAACAAAUCCAGGCAGAGAAAAUUCAGCUUGUAGAGAAGUGCAGACACAUGGAGGCCCUAAAUAACCAGUUGGAAGAAAGGCAUAAUGAAUUUGUCAAGAACCAACGAGAAAAAGAAAAUCAUCGAAGGCAGCCCAAUGUGGAUAAUAUAAAUGAAGGCUGGAAAAUACUAUUUAAUCGAGCACAGGAGAAGAUUUUAAACUUGAUGACAGAAAACAAACACAACUGUGCUGAAUUAAGACAAAUGUCCCAUCUGCUUGAAGAAAAAGAAGAUAUUAAUCAGGAGCUCUGUGGGAAACUGGAAGACACUGAGUUUAAGAACCUGGAGAUGGAAGCAAAACUUGAUGAAGCCCAGGAAAAAAACAAAGAGUUGCUUCAAGAGAAGAAACAACAGGAAAGAAAGGAGAAAAAAAUGGAAUGUAAACUUCAGACCAUGAAGAAACAAAACAAAGUCUUGCAAGUAAAGCUUAACGAAGCACUGCACAGAAAUGCAGAAAUGUUUCACGAUGAAAGUCUCAUAAACCAGCAAGACGAAGAAAAUAAAAAUACACAAAACCUGCCCAGUGUAGAUAAGGGCUGGGAAAUAAUCUUUAUUGAAGAUCCGCAGCAUAUUGCAAGCCUGAUGACAACAAACAAGCAGAACUGCGACCAGUUAAGAAAAAUGUCCUACCAGCUUCAACAAACAGAAGCUAUUAAUCAGGAGCUCUAUGGGAAUCUCAAAGACACUGAGAACAAGAAUCUGCAGCUUCACCUAAAACUUGAUGAAGCCCUGGAGAAAAACAAAGAGUUUCUUCAAGAGAAACAGCAACAGGAAAAAAUGCAGAAAAAGACACAAGUUAUUCUCCAAGACUUAGAAAGGAAAAAUCUACAGCUACACGCAUGUUCUAAUGAAAUGAAGGAGAAAAUCAUGGAACUAGAAGGAGAAAGGGAAAAACUGAUAAAACAACACUCAGGCGCGCAGCACAUUUGCAAUGAAAUGCUAAGCAAGAACUCAGAGCUUGUGGAACUUUGUAACAUCUUAAAAUACAAAAUUGAUGAAAUCCUGAGAAAGAACACAGAGCUCGAGGGACAGAAUAAGAACUUAAACUACAAAUACAGUGAAAUCCUAAAAAAGAGCACAGAGCUUGAGGAACUUCAUAACAACUUAAAAUACAAAAACAAGAAAAUGCUCAAGGAAAACACAGAGCUCGAGGAAAUUAAUAACAACUUAAAAUACAAAAACAAGAAAAUGCUCAGGGAAAACACAGAGCUCGAGGAAAUUAAUAACAACUUAAAAUACAAAAAGAAGAAAAUGCUCAAAGAAAACACAGAGCUCGAGGAAAUUAAUAACAACUUAAAAUACAAAAACAAGAAAAUGCUCAAGGAAAACACAGAGCUCGAGGAAAUUAAUAACAACUUAAAAUACAAAAAGAAGAAAAUGCUCAAGGAAAACACAGAGCUCGAGGAAAUUAAUAACAACUUAAAAUACAAAAAGAAGAAAAUGCUCAAGGAAAACAAAGAGCUCGAGGAAAUUAAUAAGACUUUAAAGUGCAAAAACAAUGAAAUGCUCAGGGAAAACAAAGAGCUUGAGAAACUUAAUAGCAACUUAAAGUGCAAAAAAAAAUGAAAUUCUCAGGAAAAACAGAACUUAAUAACAACUUGAUGUCCAUACCAAGUGCUUCUGACCACUCCAACUGCCUGCAAAAUUAUUAUUUAAAAUUAUUUGGACAGUUUAAGUGUAUUAGUUGACAUCAAAGUGACUCUUUAAAUUGGCUAACAACAAACGAUUCAAACAAGCUAAUUUAUUUCACAUCCAAUGAGUCACUUUAAAAAUCCCACGACCGGUCGAGGCAGAUGGCCGUCCCUCACUGAGCCUGGUUCUGCCGGAGGUUUCUUGCUUUUAAAAGAAAGUUUUUCCUCCCCACUGUCGCCGAGUGCUUGCUCAGAGGGAAUUGUCAGAUUAUUGGGGUUUUAUUUAUUUAUUUGUCAACUAAUACACAACUCGAGGCUCGCAAAAUCUCUAGCCCGACGUCCCGGAGCUAGCGAUAUCUCCGGUCGGGCGACCAAAAUC